GGAGAAAUGCCAGAGUGGUUUAAUGGGAUGGUCUCGAAAACCAUUGUGCUUCUUUGAGGCACCGAGGGUUCGAAUCCCUCUUUCUCCGCCA
RNAcentral lists this transfer RNA (91 nucleotides) under Rickettsiales bacterium. Its description in RNAcentral is "tRNA-Ser". It matches the Rfam family "tRNA". From Rfam's summary of the family: Transfer RNA (tRNA) molecules are approximately 80 nucleotides in length. Their secondary structure includes four short double-helical elements and three loops (D, anti-codon, and T loops). Lineage: Bacteria; Pseudomonadati; Pseudomonadota; Alphaproteobacteria; Rickettsiales. The record is from RNAcentral.